This 73-nucleotide transfer RNA is filed under the name Cordylochernes scorpioides. RNAcentral's name for it is "tRNA-Thr". Lineage: Eukaryota; Metazoa; Arthropoda; Arachnida; Pseudoscorpiones; Chernetidae. The record is from RNAcentral.
GUCCAGGGAUGGGAAUCGAACACACAGUGUUCCGCUUACCGGGCAGAUGCCAUGUCCACUAGGCUACCCUGGA